GAUGAACGCUGGCGGCGUGCCUAAUACAUGCAAGUCGAGCGAACGGACGAGAAGCUUGCUUCUCUGAUGUUAGCGGCGGACGGGUGAGUAACACGUGGAUAACCUGCCUAUAAGACUGGGAUAACGUCGGGAAACCGGAGCUAAUACCGGAUAAUAUUUUGAACCGCAUGGUUCAAAAGUAAAAGACGGUCUUGCUGUCACUUAUAGAUGGAUCCGCGCUGCAUUAGCUAGUUGGUAAGGUAACGGCUUACCAAGGCAACGAUGCAUAGCCGACCUGAGAGGGUGAUCGGCCACACUGGAACUGAGACACGGUCCAGACUCCUACGGGAGGCAGCAGUAGGGAAUCUUCCGCAAUGGGCGAAAGCCUGACGGAGCAACGCCGCGUGAGUGAUGAAGGUCUUCGGAUCGUAAAACUCUGUUAUUAGGGAAGAACAUAUGUGUAAGUAACUGUGCACAUCUUGACGGUACCUAAUCAGAAAGCCACGGCUAACUACGUG
RNAcentral lists this ribosomal RNA (497 nucleotides) under uncultured bacterium. RNAcentral's name for it is "partial 16S ribosomal RNA". It matches the Rfam family "Bacterial small subunit ribosomal RNA", at positions 28 to 507 of the family's 1533-position model. The record is from RNAcentral.